Molecule: ribosomal RNA, 460 nt
Filed under: uncultured bacterium
Lineage: Bacteria
Description: partial 16S ribosomal RNA
Rfam family: Bacterial small subunit ribosomal RNA
Source: RNAcentral
CCUACGGGAGGCAGCAGUGAGGAAUAUUGGUCAAUGGGCGUAAGCCUGAACCAGCCAAGCCGCGUGAGGGAUGAAGGUUCUAUGGAUCGUAAACCUCUUUUAUCAGGGAAUAAAGUGUGGGACGUGUCCUGUUUUGAAUGUACCUUAUGAAUAAGGAUCGGCUAACUCCGUGCCAGCAGCCGCGGUAAUACGGAGGAUCCGAGCGUUAUCCGGAUUUAUUGGGGUUAAAGAGUGCGUAGGCGGGCUUUUAAGUCAGCGGUGAAAGUCUGGGGCUCAACCCUAGAAGGGCGGUUGAAACGGGCAGUCUUGAGUAUGUUUGAGGCAGGCGGAAUGCGUGGUGUAGCGGUGAAAUGCUUAGAUAUCACGCAGAACACCGAUUGCGAAGGCAGCCUGCCAGGGCAUGACUGACGCUGAUGCACGAAAGCGUGGGGAUCAAACAGGAUUAGAUACCCGUGUAGUC